UCAAGACGAACGCUGGCGGCGUGCUUAACACAUGCAAGUCGAACGGACCUUUUUUGGAAAAAUCCUUCGAGUGGAAAUUAGGAGACGUUACUGGCGGACGGGUGAUUAACGCGGAGAUAAUCGACCUUAAAGACUGGGACUACAGUUGGAAACGACUGCUAUUACCGGAUACACUGCACUUACGGCAUCCUAGGUGCUGGAAAAGAGGCCUCUUAACAAUGCUCCUGCUUCUAAAUGAGUCUGCGUCUGAUUAGCUACAUGGUGGGGUAACGGCUUACCAUGGCGACGAUCAGUAGUCGGCCUGAUAGGGUGACCGGCCACAUUGGGACUGAUACACGGACCAAACUCCUACGGGUAGCGGCAGUGGGGAAUCUUCCGCAUUGGGCGAAAGCCUGACAGAGCAGCGCCACGUGAUCAAAUGAAGGCCUUCAGGUUGUAAAGAUCUGUUGACACGGACCAUAUAACCCUGCGAAUAGUUCUGUGUAUGACGGUACCUGUUUAGAUAGCUCCAGCUAACUACGUGCCAUCAGCCGCUGUAAUACGUACGGAGCAAGCGUUGCUCGGAAUUACUGGGCGUAUCGGGAUCGUAUGCAGGUAUGCUUGCUGAAUGUGUAAUCUAGCGGCUCUACUGAU
This 633-nucleotide ribosomal RNA is filed under the name uncultured bacterium. RNAcentral describes it as "bacterial SSU rRNA". It matches the Rfam family "Bacterial small subunit ribosomal RNA", at positions 24 to 617 of the family's 1533-position model. The record is from RNAcentral.